This 272-nucleotide unclassified non-coding RNA is filed under the name Rickettsia conorii subsp. conorii. Lineage: Bacteria; Pseudomonadati; Pseudomonadota; Alphaproteobacteria; Rickettsiales; Rickettsiaceae. The record is from RNAcentral.
CUGUGAGAUUACAUAUGCAUAUAGUGUUAAUGUUAUAAGAGUGUAGUAUCUACUCACAAAGUUAUCAGGUUAAAUAGUUUUAUCAACUAAUAAAAAUGUUAUUGCAUAACUAAUGUUAUAUACUGUAGCCCUGCCACGAUAUCCAGCGAGAAUUAUUUUGCUGAGUAUCGUAGUAAAAGUUAAGAUAUGAUGUUGAGAAUUUUUUUGAGUCGUGCAACAACAUUAACAGCAAACUAUAAUACAAAUCUAUCUUUUUAAAAGUUUGUAUUGCU